UCUGUCUCAUCCUUAUGUGGAGGGUCGCAUGUUUGUCAUGAAACAUCAAUAUGAAGAGACAAUUGCUGAACUGCAGAGUGAAGUGGAGAAGAUGAAAGAAGACUUAAGAAGAAUAUCUUUGUCACUAAAAGGAAUUCGCUUUCGUAGUUGUGGUAAGGGGCGUUAUCAAGCACAAUAACGGAGCCUGGCUGUACAUUGACUAACAGCUUCUGGAACCACUCCAAGAAAUGCUCUGAGUUCGUUUCGUCGUGGUAGUCUGCGCUGUUCUUCUUUGAUCUGAAAACCAAGUCUGCAUUGGGAGUCCACCCCGUUUCACUUCCUGCGUGAAGUAUGAUGAGUCAUUGACCCUUUCCUGAAGGUCUUUUCCACCCACCGCGUCCCUGUUCAUCUAGCCAGAGUCUCUCCGGAGCCAUGUGUGAGUUUGCCCAGGUUUCGUCCAAGUACACUAUGGGACGGUCUUCUCUUCUAUACUGCAUAAUGUUUUUGAGGGUAUGUCUGAAUCCCAUUUCCUUCAGUAAGUGAAAGAGAGUUGUCUGCCCGCCAGGAAAUACGCCUUUUUCGCGGACACGCACAAGGAGUUUUGUCCAAGGUUGGAUAGUCUCUAUUUUCAUACAUUUCAUGUACUGUUCUCCGUAUCGCUGCUGGAUCAAAAUCAUCAACGUUGAUGGUCAGUCGGCGUUCUCGUUUAACGUUUCUUCUGCGGUGUUUGAAACUGUUGACUUGACAAUAAGUCUGUGUGGAUCUUUGCCGACGUCGUUUUGCCUAGGCCAGUGGCAGCUACCAGUCGGUCGGUGACCCUGUUGAGACUGAUGCGAUGUUUGGCUCGUCGUUCUUCUUCGAAGAAUUGUCUGAUACGUUCAACAAGACGCUUUUCCGCUGAAACAACUCGCUCACUUUUUCUCCUUGCCAUGAAACCUCUGCUUAUCGUAACUAAUAGGUUAAUUAUACAGCAGAGUUCUCGAGCUUCGCGCGCACUCUGGUCUGGAAGUUCGAGACUAACAGACGGUAGGCAUGAAGGCGCUCCAUCCAAGCGGCAAAGGCCAGACAAAAACAUGCCCGGUUGGGCAAUAACUAGUGAUCAUGAAUUUUAGCUCUCUAUAGACAUAUAUCGCUGCAUAUGCAUGUGCAUGGGUCUAGAGGCCUGUCCACACUGGCAACUGGAUCGCGAUCCAACGGCAACGCUGUCCACACUUGCAACUCGAUCGCGAUCGGUUGAAUCCAAUUAUGAAUAGUGGGCGUUAUCUUCACGUACGCUACGCGUGUAGUCGGAACAUCUAGCACUCCUUACUCGUCUUUGUUCUCGCUCACCUUACGUCGCUGUAUCAAUGCUUUCCACAAGCAAAGAAGCCACACGUACACAUCGGUCAUCAGUCACGUGAUAUCGAAAUGAUCAUGAGGCGGAGGUAGCAUUUUCAAAGUGCAGUGUGGACGCUCGCUAUCCCGAUCGGAUCGCGAUCCAUUCUGGUCUAGUGUGGACAGGCCUAAAAAUGACAUUAUAUUUCGAAUAAAAACUGUUAGUUA
Molecule: long non-coding RNA, 1521 nt
Organism: Corticium candelabrum
Lineage: Eukaryota; Metazoa; Porifera; Homoscleromorpha; Homosclerophorida; Plakinidae
Exons: 4
Source: RefSeq, a predicted model, not a curated record